GCCAUGGCUGAUGCGCGAUUACUAGCGAAUCCAGCUUCACGAAGUCGGGUUGCAGACUUCGAUCCGAACUGAGAGAGGCUUUUGGGAUUAGCAUCCUGUCACCAGGUAGCUGCCUUCUGUACCCCCCAUUGUAACACGUGUGUAGCCCCGGACGUAAGGGCCGUGCUGAUUUGACGUCAUCCCCACCUUCCUCACAUCUUACGACGGCAGUCUCUCUAGAGUCCUCAGCAUGACCUGUUAGUAACUAAAGAUAAGGGUUGCGCUCGUUAUGGCACUUAAGCCGACACCUCACGGCACGAGCUGACGACAACCAUGCAGCACCUUCACAUUUGCCUUACGGCUAUACUGUUUCCAAUAUAUUCAAAUGCAAUUUAAGCCCGGGUAAGGUUCCUCGCGUAUCAUCGAAUUAAACCACAUGUUCCUCCGCUUGUGCGGGCCCCCGUCAAUUCCUUUGAGUUUCACCGUUGCCGGCGUACUCCCCAGGUGGAAUACUUAAUGCUUUCGCUUGGCCGCUUACUGUAUAUCGCAAACAGCGAGUAUUCAUCGUUUACUGUGUGGACUACCAGGGUAUCUAAUCCUGUUUGAUACCCACACUUUCGAGCAUCAGUGUCAGUUGCAGUCCAGUGAGCUGCCUUCGCAAUCGGAGUUCUUCGUGAUAUCUAAGCAUUUCACCGCUACACCACGAAUUCCGCCCACCUCUACUGUACUCAAGACAGCCAGUAUCAACUGCAAUUUUACGGUUGAGCCGCAAACUUUCACAACUGACUUAACUGUCCACCUACGCUCCCUUUAAACCCAAUAAAUCCGGAUAACGCUCGGAUCCUCCGUAUUACCGCGGCUGCUGGCACGGAGUUAGCCGAUCCUUAUUCAUAUGGUACAUACAAAAUUCCACACGUGGAAAACUUUAUUCCCAUAUAAAAGAAGUUUACAACCCAUAGGGCAGUCAUCCUUCACGCUACUUGGCUGGUUCAGGCCUGCGCCCAUUGACCAAUAUUCCUCACUGCUGCCUCCCGUAGGAGUUUGGACCGUGUCUCAGUUCCAAUGUGGGGGACCUUCCUCUCAGAACCCCUAUCCAUCGAAGGUUUGGUGAGCCGUUACCUCACCAACUGCCUAAUGGA
Molecule: ribosomal RNA, 1118 nt
Filed under: Bacteroides thetaiotaomicron
Lineage: Bacteria; Pseudomonadati; Bacteroidota; Bacteroidia; Bacteroidales; Bacteroidaceae
Description: partial 16S ribosomal RNA
Source: RNAcentral